Molecule: transfer RNA, 85 nt
Filed under: Felis catus (domestic cat)
Lineage: Eukaryota; Metazoa; Chordata; Mammalia; Carnivora; Felidae
Rfam family: tRNA
About the family: Transfer RNA (tRNA) molecules are approximately 80 nucleotides in length. Their secondary structure includes four short double-helical elements and three loops (D, anti-codon, and T loops). Further hydrogen bonds mediate the characteristic L-shaped molecular structure. tRNAs have two regions of fundamental functional importance: the anti-codon, which is responsible for specific mRNA codon recognition, and the 3' end, to which the tRNAs corresponding amino acid is attached (by aminoacyl-tRNA synthetases). tRNAs cope with the degeneracy of the genetic code in two manners: having more than one tRNA (with a specific anti-codon) for a particular amino acid; and 'wobble' base-pairing, i.e. permitting non-standard base-pairing at the 3rd anti-codon position.
Source: Rfam by way of RNAcentral
GCCUGGGUGGCUCAGGUGGUUAAGCAUCUGACUUUGGCUCAGGUCAUGAUCUCACAGUUUGUGGGUUCAAGCCCUGUAUCAGGCU